GCGGCCGUAGUCUAGCCUGGUCUAGGAUGGCGGCCUUCCGAGCCGCAGAACCCGGGUUCGAAUCCCGGCGGCCGCACCA
Molecule: transfer RNA, 79 nt
Filed under: Vulcanisaeta distributa DSM 14429
Lineage: Archaea; Thermoproteati; Thermoproteota; Thermoprotei; Thermoproteales; Thermoproteaceae
Also listed under: 6 other names
Description: tRNA-Gly (TCC) (tRNA-Gly-TCC-1-1)
Rfam family: tRNA
About the family: Transfer RNA (tRNA) molecules are approximately 80 nucleotides in length.
Source: RNAcentral